Molecule: transfer RNA, 73 nt
Filed under: Endocronartium harknessii PhW48OC
Lineage: Eukaryota; Fungi; Basidiomycota; Pucciniomycetes; Pucciniales; Coleosporiaceae
Also listed under: 2 other names
Description: tRNA-Tyr (GTA) (tRNA-Tyr-GTA-3-1)
Rfam family: tRNA
About the family: Transfer RNA (tRNA) molecules are approximately 80 nucleotides in length. Their secondary structure includes four short double-helical elements and three loops (D, anti-codon, and T loops). Further hydrogen bonds mediate the characteristic L-shaped molecular structure. tRNAs have two regions of fundamental functional importance: the anti-codon, which is responsible for specific mRNA codon recognition, and the 3' end, to which the tRNAs corresponding amino acid is attached (by aminoacyl-tRNA synthetases). tRNAs cope with the degeneracy of the genetic code in two manners: having more than one tRNA (with a specific anti-codon) for a particular amino acid; and 'wobble' base-pairing, i.e. permitting non-standard base-pairing at the 3rd anti-codon position.
Source: RNAcentral
CCCCGAAUAGCUCAGUUGGAAGAGCAUGAGACUGUAAAUCUCAGGGUCAUCGGUUCGAUCCCGAUUUCGGGGA